This 450-nucleotide ribosomal RNA is filed under the name uncultured bacterium. RNAcentral's name for it is "partial 16S ribosomal RNA". It matches the Rfam family "Bacterial small subunit ribosomal RNA", at positions 354 to 796 of the family's 1533-position model. The record is from RNAcentral.
GUGGGGAAUAUUGGACAAUGGGCGAAAGCCUGAUCCAGCCAUGCCGCGUGUGUGAAGAAGGUCUUCGGAUUGUAAAGCACUUUAAGUUGGGAGGAAGGGCAGUAAGUUAAUACCUUGCUGUUUUGACGUUACCGACAGAAUAAGCACCGGCUAACUUCGUGCCAGCAGCCGCGGUAAUACGAAGGGUGCAAGCGUUAAUCGGAAUUACUGGGCGUAAAGCGCGCGUAGGUGGUUUUGUAAGUUGGAGGUGAAAUCCACGGGCUCAACCUGGGAACUGCCUCCAAAACUACUGAGCUAGAGUACGGUAGAGGGUAGUGGAAUUUCCUGUGUAGCGGUGAAAUGCGUAGAUAUAGGAAGGAACACCAGUGGCGAAGGCGACUACCUGGACUGAUACUGACACUGAGGUGCGAAAGCGUGGGGAGCAAACAGGAUUAGAUACCCUAGUAGUCC